CAUCGCACCCCUCCUCCCCCCAUCUCCUCGCCGCCGCCAUCGACGGCGCUCCCCUCGAUCCCUCCCACCGCCGUCUCCCUCCCUCAGAUCGAGCUCCCCCUCCCCUCUCCCUCCCACCUCUCGAAGCUCCCGCGUCCCACCGCCGCACACCGUGCUCCUCUGCAGCUUCUGCGGCGAUGCAGCCGCCGCUGACUACUCUCCUUCCUCCUUCCUCCAGCACUACUCUCCAACCUCGCCUCUCGCUUCGCCGCCCCGCGCCCCGCGCUCGUCAGGGCCCCGUAGCGCCGCUCAGUCCCUCACGCUCGGGCCCAACGAGGUCGUGCACACGCUCACCAGCACACCCGUCUUCACCUUCUGCAACUCCAGCAACGCGUUCGUGCUCGUCUCCGACCCCGCCACUGGUCUCCACUCCCUCGGCCUCCUCUGCUUCCGCUCCGAGGACACCGACGCCCUCCUCUUCGUCCGAGUUCGCCGGAACCACGACGGCUGGCGCGCCCGUGCGCGAGGAGACGACGACCCCGAUAAGCCAUGCAGGGCCAGUAAGAAGGUCGCCGCCCCAGCACCUGCAGCAGCAGUACCCCCAAGGGACGAGACCACCGGCGCCCACCAGGAUCUCCGCCGCUGCAUCUUGGUAACGAUCGCGUGAGAAAGCACCGCAUGUGGGCGGCUGCAUCUGAGGCUGAGGAAUUUGGUUCGGGGUGAGCGGGGGAUGGCUCAAGCCUAGAAGGGAUCUGAUGCGCCACUGUAGACAUACGAACACAGGAGGGGGUCCAAAUUUGCCGUUUGCCAGAUUCGCGCUCAUGCCAUAGGUUGCCGGCGAAGUACCUCAGCCUGUUCAGGCAUCUUUCGUACAUUGAGCAACAAUGGCGAAUUCGAGUGGAUGAUGGAAGGCCUCAGUUUGGGGCCAAGAAAAGGCGUGGACGAGGCCAUUUCUGCAAGGCCGCCUGCAAAUUGCUGGGUGCAACAUCAAUGUAGCUCUGAUCCAGAACCUGGUUCUUGGAUGCAACACGCAUUGUCCUGGACUGGAUCUAAUUUUGUUGAGGUGACUGCUGUUGUGACCAUGAUCAGAAGAAGCCUGGAGAUGUGCACAAUAGUUUUAGUUGAUGUUGCCACCAUGUUUUGGUGCAUGUGUAUUUCUUUUUGAUUGUAUAAACACUUGAUGGAUUGUGCAGACGUGUAUGUGCUGUUGUGAGUUUCAUUGAGUGAUUUUUGGAUUUGAUCAUUUAAUUGUGAGAAUUAUUGAUUGUUUGCUGUUGAAAUGUGUAAAAGAAAUCUGUGAAUGAAAAGGUUGAAUGUUCUAUUGGAUCGAA
Long non-coding RNA from Triticum dicoccoides, 1310 nucleotides. RefSeq lists it as uncharacterized. The record is from RefSeq and is a predicted model, not a curated record. Lineage: Eukaryota; Viridiplantae; Streptophyta; Magnoliopsida; Poales; Poaceae. The transcript is spliced from 5 exons.